AAAAAAAAAGGGUAGGCUUUCGCAAUUUCUUUAUCUUUAUCCUUAUUCUUACUUCUUCAAUGUGACGGAUGGCAUAUAAAACCCAAGUAACGAAAACUGCUUCUGAAUUCUGAUGCUAUUGUCUAUGAAGAGGAAGGUAAAAAAAAAUCAUGUCGAACUGUUACUUUGGUUAAAAUCAUUCGGGAUGAAGCAAUAAAAUGAAUGAGAAAUUUAGGUUUCAUAUCCAGCAUAAUGAUAUAGAGCCUAUACAAACGUAAAUUUUCCAUAAUUACAUUCAAAUUCUUAUACUGUUAGGUUCAUAAUGAGUUGUGAAUAUGAAAUAUUUCAAGGCAAGAGUGAAUUAAAUCCAUCUCCUCAUACUCUUGCAACUACGCAGAUCUGUUGAAUAUUUCUGAUUGUUGCAAAUUAAUAGUCAUGCUUAUUAGCUUUAUAGCAAAUUAGUCUAUGGAUGGAACAAGGGCAGAAUAAAAGGGAGUAAAAUUUAUGCACUCUGCCUUUUUGAACAUUGUUUUUCUUUUUUGCCCUUUGAGGGGAAGGGUUUAGAGAUGACUUGAACUCCUUCAAAAUCUCUUGAAGCCUAACUUCAAUUUGUCGAAUUCAUUAUUUUACUUCAUUAUGUGCUGUGCUGGCAACAACAGAUAGGAAGGGGUCCAUGUAACUGCUGCACUCGCCCCUCUUGCUAAGCAUUGGAGCAACAGGUUCGAGGUUGUCCCUGCUCCUUAAGCAAGAUGGGCAAAAGCAAGUUAACAGGUGCGUAUGCUGUACCAAAUGGUCCAGGAAAAGGAGAGUGUGAAAAACUUAAGUAUCCCAAGCCAGUCUCUGUCGUAAGCCCUUCUAUGCCUUCCCUGCAAUUGAAGCUCCAGUCGUAGAACCAGUUGGAGUAAAAAAAGUGGAAAGUGGAGAAGAGGUUUGCAUCUUCACCAUCCUUUUCCACAGAAAGAUCUUCUUGACGACUACUAAAACUUUAGUAUCCUUCUGAGCAGAAAACGGAUUGGUGUUGUUCCUCUGUGCAUCUCUGUGGUGGCUCUGUUAAAAAGGUGCAACUCUGAUUGGAUGAAACAGUUAAGAAUUCUUUCAGAUUAAUCUUUAUGUCAAUAGAUCUCUUCUUGUUCCUCAAUCUUUGGAGAAGGCAGCAUUGUAUUGUUGUAAGUUCUCUGUUCCUAACAUUUCCUAGACGACAAGUUUUAAUUCUUAAAUGGGGCAAGUUCCGGUCAAGAUGGAGAAAAGCAUUUACUCUACUCUUCUCACCUUUUGACCGGCUCACUCUUGUUUCUUUUACUUUUUUACUUCCAGACAUAUGGUUAAACAUCAGAUAUGUAUUCAUCAUGGAUCAAUUAGCCUAAAUUCAUGUAUUUUGACCUAUUAAAAUGUACUCUAGUAUGUUGGAGAGUUAUCUGAAUAUUGCAAAGCAUUAUAUAAAACUAGAUCUAACAUGUAGAACAAUAUGUCCAUUUUGUUUGUUGGAUAUGUGGGCUAAAGUCAGAAGCUAGUUGAAUGCAAACUGAGUAAACCUACCUUUGUCUGAACUGUACUGUCAAAAUCUGGGAAGUUGGAAGCAUUCUCCGAGUCAAAUUUUUGUUAAUUUUUUUGGCUUUUUGAUCACCCCAGAGUUCCUACUUCUGUCCUUUAACAUAAAUGAAAUUUCUCUCUUUAAGUUGAUGCCAGCUUUUCUGGGACAAUCCUGAAGACAUUGAACCGAUUGUUUUCAUAUUUUUCAAAAGUUUCUUACCUGCGUGUACCAAGCUUCUUGCAUCUUAGAAGCCAAGAAAGUGCCUUCUUAAACAUUUUCUUAGACUAUGGAUUACAGUUCUUCACCAAGUUGUUUGAGCAUCAAACCCUUUCCCGUGCAUUACUUUUAUCAACAGGUUUGUUUUGGUAUGUCUGGAACAGCAGAAACCAAGCCAUUUUAACUUUCAAACCUGCGACUCACUAAUUCUGUUUUGUUUCAGCCUUGUUUGUGAACGGGCUGAACUACAUUUUUGUUAUAGGGAAGCUAAUUAAAUGGCGGAUGGUACUAGAAAGCUUCCUGAUAUGCACUCUACUCCUCUUUUCUAUGAACUGUUUCUUAUAUGAUGUUAGGAUGGAUUCAGAAAUCAAUCCUUGUAUAGGGUGCGUGUUGCCUUGUUAUAGAUAUUCUGUUACUCAUGCAAAGGCUUUCAAUAAUAAUAAAAAAAAAAGAAAACAAGGGUAUGGAACAAAAUUGACAUGCUGAUGGACUGAGAAACCAAAGAAUAAAAUUGAAGGCACAUUUAAGGUAUUUAUACAAUAAUUGUUGAUGCCGAGAUCGACAGAGCUGCUCCUGGGCCAAGCCAAUCCAAUCUCCUACUCUCAAGUGAUCCCACUCCGAUGCUUUAAGUAAGAGACUACAAAGAAAGAACAAGAAAACCCGACGUGGAAUAGUGGGCCGGAAGCAUUUUAAUUUAUGUAUUACUGUAGCUCAGAUGCCAAAGGAGCAAACACACUACGCAGAGUGACCCUUUCCGUAUCACACACUAGGGUUGCGAGUUUCAAUGGAUGGAGAAAUGGACCCAGAAAUAAUCCGUAUGUUCAUGGACUUCCUUACGUGGGAACCAGUCGACCUAAUGUUGAUGAAGAAGCGCUUGGAAUCUGCCCCGCCUUUGGACGGCAACCCUCGCCCCAAGAAAGUAUUCCUCCUCCUCUCCAUCAAAGCUAAAAUCUUGAGCGGCAACAUUUCGGAGGAAAUCCUAGGCCAUUUGGAGAUGAUCGAGCGCAUCGACUGCAGCCAAUGUCUCAGAAUCACUGACUCCAUGAACCGAGCUUACUGCGCUGUCGCACUUGAAUGCACCGCCAAGUACUUGGCCGUUAAUUGGGGCGGGAAUGGCAGGUAUUUGGAUGCCGUUAACAGAAUCUGGAGGGGUAGAAUUGCAAAUUUGGAAAAAUCCAAGGCAUCCAAGUUGGUGACCACCGAGGAACUGAGAAGUGGUCGACGUCAAGUGGAGGCUGCCAUUAAGGAUGAGGAGGUCGCCAACGUGUUAAUCGCUACCAAUUCGCUCAAUGAGGCCAUUAGGAUGAUUAAGGUUUAUUUGAAGGAAGCUCAGGCCUUGAUGGGUAUCUCAUCCCUUGAAAGAGAAUGUGAGUUAUUCCUUGCAAGAGAAUGUGAGUCUGGUUUUCCUGUAGUAGAGGCGGAGUAAACUUUCAUGAGCAGAAGAAAAAAAAAAGGAUAAUGAAGAGGAAUUGCAGAGUCUAUAGAAUGAAGGAAUGAUUAAAAUCUUUCAGGAUGAGGAAAAAAAUUAGCUUGGAAGGUGGAUUACUUCCCGGGAAUAAGCUGUUUUUUAUUUUAUGUUGAAUUAUUAGAGUUAGUUUCUAAAAGAAAUAGUUGAAGAUGAGAGUAUUGCCCUAUGUUGAUGAGAAGGAUGCUUUCACCAUAAUAAUACGGGCAUAUGGUGUAUUAACCUCAACCACAAACCCAUCGUGGUUGACAGUCUUGAAGAUUCGACUGUUUUUGCAUGUGUCAAAGUAUAUUUUUGUUUUAGGAAGCUAAUCAAAUAGCCAACCUCUUGUUGAGGAGAGCCGCUAGUAUUAGACAGCUUCAUGACAUAAACUCUGCUCUCUUUUUGGAUUACUUGGUAUUAUGAGAUUGUACUUCUUUAACUUCUACCAAACCUUAUAGGGUGUAUAUUGCUGGUUGUAAAUAUUAACUAGUGCAAAACUAAAUUUUGAAAAA
Molecule: RNA transcript, 3685 nt
Organism: Theobroma umbraticum
Lineage: Eukaryota; Viridiplantae; Streptophyta; Magnoliopsida; Malvales; Malvaceae
Source: RefSeq, a predicted model, not a curated record